RNAcentral lists this ribosomal RNA (390 nucleotides) under uncultured bacterium. Its description in RNAcentral is "bacterial SSU rRNA". It matches the Rfam family "Bacterial small subunit ribosomal RNA", at positions 29 to 446 of the family's 1533-position model. The record is from RNAcentral.
AACGAACGCUGGCGGCAGGCCUAACACAUGCAAGUCGAACGAGAUCUUCGGAUCUAGUGGCAGACGGGUGAGUAACGCGUGGGAACCUACCUUUAGGUACGGAAUAACAGUUAGAAAUGACUGCUAAUACCGUAUGUGCCCGAGAGGGGAAAGAUUUAUCGCCUUUAGAUGGGCCCGCGUUGGAUUAGUUAGUUGGUGAGGUAACGGCUCACCAAGACGACGAUCUAUAGCUGGUUUGAGAGGAUGAUCAGCCACACUGGGACUGAGACACGGCCCAGACUCCUACGGGAGGCAGCAGUCGGGAAUAUUGGACAAUGGGGGAAACCCUGAUCCAGCCAUGCCGCGUGAGUGAUGAAGGCCUUAGGGUUGUAAAGCUCUUUCGCUGGGGAA